CCUACCUUUUCCAACUGACGAAUCUAUUUCCUUGACCAGAUCCGCUCUGUAGCUCUUCUCCUGCCUUUGCAAUUUGCAUGCUCUUCUGCUUCUACUUCUCUAAAUCAUGGUGGGCACUGUCCAUGGAGGUUCAGAUGAACCAAUCUACUUUGAGCAGUGCAUGUGACAAUAACAGCUCUCCCCUUUUUCUUUACAUGUUUUAUAAUCUGCAUAUUUUGUUGUAAUGGCUGCAGUAAGGCAGCAACAGAGUUGAAUCGCUCAAUAUAUGCUACCAUAGGGAGUUGAUGCGAGGGAGUUGGAGGAAUGACAGAUUUUGUAUGCUCCUCACCCGGGUUGAACGGCUGCAUCCACCUGUUGUUAUGGUAGUGGAAUCCCUCCAAUUACAUCAAGAAAUAUAGUUAUUGGUUUAUCUGAUGGGGAUCCUAAUUGUAGCACCCUAGGCUGGACUUCUCAAGGGUGAACAUACUGAUGGUUGGUAACCAACCUAAUGAUUGAUGGUGUUAUCAUGAGGAGGCAAUGGACCAGCGGCGGCGUGAUUCAAAAGUAAGUUCAGAAUUCAGAUAGCCUCUGAUAUUUGAUUCUUCUUUUGAAUCUAAAAUACCAGUCUUUGUGUUGUAUCCAAUCUACUGGAUUAGAAAUAGUUAGAAAACUAUCACAUGAUUUUGAUUGCACACUGUCCAAUGGACGUAACAAGAUUAGGUACUUAGGUUGGUUAAUACAACUCAUUCUGCCAUUUUAUCGACAAUAACCAUUAAUUAUGAUUCAUUUCGAUCCUGUUUAUAUACAGGAAGCUUAUGCUGUAUCUCUUUCAGCAAAUGUAUUUCCCUCAAUUAUCUCUUUCAGAAGAAAACAAGAAUCUAUAAUCCUCAUGAUUUUCAAGUCGUGUUUAGAGGCACAAAUUAUACCAGAACGGCCUUGCAAGGAAAUCAUGUUUGCCAAACUGCACUGCAAGAUGUUGGAAACCCUGUCAAAGCUUGAAUUUGAAACCUUUGUUGAGCUCACCCAAGUAAAUUUACACAGGGAGGGGAGUGCAAUUAAUCAGAAGCAGAGCAUAUCAUUCCAACAUCACAAUGAAUCUACAGCAGAAGGAGAGCAAAUUUUUGAGAAUGCAUCUUUUCCCCAUUUUAUUAGUUAUUCUAUACCUAGCAGUUUACUUUGCAAGUGUGCUUUCAAGCAGCUGGUUCAACUUCUAGAAGGAUAGACAUGCAAUAUUUUAGGUAAUGUAGAUCAAAAUAUAACUGCACAUCGCACGAGCAAGGUGCACAUGGAUAUUCAACGGGUGUGCCUCACACUAGAGGCGGAGGCAGGAGUGCCCAAGCCACGACACCGAAAACCAUGAACUCCAACUACAAGCUGCUCAAAAGGCAUAAAUGGCAAUCCAUACAUAAAUACUAGCUAGAUAGAACUUCAGUUCAGUUUACAUCACUGAAUCUCCGUGCACUGCAGCUGCUACUGGUAUGUAAUCCGCACUCUAACUUGACCAUGGUGGCAUUCUCCAUGGUUAGCACUGCAGAUUAUUUUUUCUUCAAACUGGUCACGGUAAAAUGUAACAUUGUCACGGAAGGCCAUGGUACGACGAACACCGUCAUCAUGAUCACAAUGGAUUGGAACAUGCAGGUCGAACUUGAGCAUCAGGAGCGGCUCCAAGUAUACAGGAACAACUGCACACCUCCGUAACAGUGGAAGUUCACCAUCAACGACCUCCGCUUUGUUCUCCUCUCCACAAGAAAAGAGCAAGACACUCCGGCCGUUGUAGAGCUGAUGGUGCGUGGUGAUUUCACCAUAGACAUGGUAGACGGCGCCCGUCCUCGUGGCAUCAUCGCAAGAUAGGAAAUCAAGGUUGACAUGCACAUUGGCCUGUAUGGCCGAGUGCGUUGCCAUGAAUGUCAAUUCUAUUUUGCGGUUGUGUGUAACCGAGAUGACGCGGGUCAUGACAUUGUUGCAAACGUAUGGGUCGACCGUGAAGGAGAAGGAAUGACAAGCAUCAUGAUCUAUUGUGC
Molecule: long non-coding RNA, 2000 nt
Organism: Triticum aestivum (bread wheat)
Lineage: Eukaryota; Viridiplantae; Streptophyta; Magnoliopsida; Poales; Poaceae
Exons: 2
Source: RefSeq, a predicted model, not a curated record